AGCCCCCAGCAAUGGGCAAAGAGACACCUGGUUGGUGGUAGCUUUCUAUAUCAGUCAGGGACAGAGCAGAUAACAGUCCUCUGUUCAUCCUAACCAGAAGUCUAGCUUGGUGGCCAAAGAUGAUUUAUGUCUAGGACUCAUAA
Arvicanthis niloticus (Nile rat) is the source of this 143-nucleotide small nucleolar RNA. RefSeq annotates it as small nucleolar RNA SNORA48. The record is from RefSeq and is a predicted model, not a curated record. Lineage: Eukaryota; Metazoa; Chordata; Mammalia; Rodentia; Muridae.